Molecule: long non-coding RNA, 680 nt
Organism: Mytilus californianus (California mussel)
Lineage: Eukaryota; Metazoa; Mollusca; Bivalvia; Mytilida; Mytilidae
Exons: 4
Source: RefSeq, a predicted model, not a curated record
UGCGUGUUAUUUUUUGCAGUAAAAAAAUCAAAGAUUUGACUGUCGAAGAAAAUUAUUUUUUAGUGGUGGUUCAUGGACUCACAAAAAUAGCAUAUCCUAUUAUAAAAAAUGAGUUUUCAACUCAAUGUCCUGACCAUGUUCUCAAUGAAAUUCGUUUGAGUAUUUACGAAAGGCAAUUGGUACAAUCAUUUGACAGGCGUAAAGUAGGGAAAAAUAGCCGAGAAGAAAGGAUACACCUUAAGCCUGAUCAUCAAAGACAACUAUUUUCACAAACAAGAGACAAAUCAGAGGACUUAGAUUUAGAAUUGAUGAUUUACAUUUUGAAAAAAAGAUCGAAUUCUGAAUGGAACAAAGUAUACAUCAAUCAGUUAGACGUCAUCGAAAAUAUCAGAAGAGAAAUUGAUCAAAGCCCUAGCGGAAAAUUAAACCAAACUCAAUUCCACGAUAUUUUAAACUGUUUGAGCAAGGCAGUCUUGCAUUUGGGAGGAGAAAUGUUUACAGAAGAAUUACUACGACUUCAGCAUAUAAAAAAUAUCUUAGAGUAAUUGAAAUGUUCAUUUCGGCAAACAGAACCAAGUGACAGUUUCAAUGACCGUUCAUUAUAUUACAAGAAGGAAACGUUCGUCAAAUUGCACAAAAUCGAAAUUGUAGCUUAAUAAACUAAUUGUGAAGUUGUAAAA